RNA transcript from Oryza sativa Japonica Group (Japanese rice), 1347 nucleotides. RefSeq lists it as uncharacterized. NCBI's taxonomy places the organism in Eukaryota, Viridiplantae, Streptophyta, Magnoliopsida, Poales, Poaceae. The record is from RefSeq and is a predicted model, not a curated record.
UUGGAGAGAACAUAUCAAUGGAUCAGAGGAUUGAGCACUCCUACCUGCCCAUCAGAGGCCUGAAGCUUCACAUAGCUCACAUUGGAAAAGGUCUGAAUCUUACCUCAUUUUUGUUGACAUCAGCAUCUCUCUGCUUUUUUUUGCUCUUCCGAAAGAAUGCAGCUCAGCUUCUUGAUUUGGUUAUUCCAGGUGAAGCUGCAACUCUGCUCUUCGUUCAUGGCUUCCCUGAGGUGUGGUACUCAUGGAGGCACCAGAUGAUUGCAGCAGCAGCAGCCGGGUUCCGUGCUAUUGCACUUGAUUUCCCAGGCUAUGGCCUCUCGGAGCCACCGGCUGACCUAACACAGGCGUCAUGGCAGGGCCUGAUGAAUGACCUCUUGGCCAUUCUAGACUCGCUGUCGAUUCCCAAGGUGUUCCUUGUUGCAAAGGAUUUUGGAGUCAAACCAGCAUAUGAUCUUGCCCUCUGCCAUCCGGACCGCGUAUGUGGUAUUGUGAGCUUAGGUGUGCCACCUCUUGUGGAAAGCCUCAGUUUCAGUGGACUUCCUGAGGGAUUUUACAUACACAGAUGGAGGGAACCUGGGAGAGCAGAGGCGGAUUUUGGCCGAUUCGACACGAGGAGGAUCUUGCGCACAAUCUACAUCCUCUUCUCCAGGAGUGAGAUUCCAGUUGCCAAGCAAGGACAAGAGAUCAUGGACCUUGCAGAUGAAUCAACACCGAUGCCUCAGUGGUUCACCGAAGAAGACCUCUCAGCUUACACCGACCUGUAUGAGAAAUCAGGUCUCAUGACUGCUAUCCAAAUUCCAUAUAGGACCAAGGCUGCAAAAGCAGAAGGUGCUAAUCCAAGGUUUGAAAUGCCAAUGUUUGUGAUUAUGGGUCAGAAAGACUACAUCCUCAAGUUUCCAGCACUGAAGGAAUAUAUGUCAAGUGAAAAACUGAAAGAAAUUGCUCCAGACUACGGGAUCACUUACAUCCCAGAAGGAUCCCAUUUUGUUCAGGAGCAAUUCCCUGACCUGGUGAAUCAGCUUGUGAUAGACUUCGUCAGUAAACAUGCAUGAGAUAGCAACAAAAACAAGGUGCAAUUUGACAAAUCCCCAGACUGCAAAAGAUUUAAUACUACAAAUUUGUACCACCUAGCAGGAUGUGAUGCAAGAGCUAUUUCAACUUCCAGUAGAAUAACUCUCUUGUACAUUAUGUCAACGCAUGGGGCAAAAGAAAAUCAAAAACCUGGAAACUUCAACCACAAACUACUAAAAACUAAUUGGUGUGCCAUGCUAGAUAUACAUGAAAGGUUCUAAUAACCUGGGUGAGCCUGCUCUGGCAUGUAUGUACAUCUAUUGUUUUCAGCUAAAC